This 3201-nucleotide long non-coding RNA is filed under the name Sus scrofa (pig). Its description in RNAcentral is "lncRNA (ENSSSCG00065015125.1)". The stretch from base 1457 to 1588 matches the Rfam family "Small nucleolar RNA SNORA9". Lineage: Eukaryota; Metazoa; Chordata; Mammalia; Artiodactyla; Suidae. The record is from RNAcentral.
AGACUGUGCGGUGGCAGCCAUGGCGGACGGUUGAGAUGAGGCUGCUCCUGGGUCUCGCGGCUAUCCAAGACCAUUGAGGGUCCCCGGCGGCGCCUGCCGUCUGCUGAGGCUGGGUGGACUCCUCUGCGGCAGAUCUCCUGUAAGAUGUGCUGGUAAGUGACGCUGCCCGGGGCCCAGCUCCUCGCUCCCAGAACCGGGCGCGCUGGUCACUGUUACUUCAUGGGGGAAAUUCUUACUGAAUCAACUAGUGACUUGGCCUACGGCUCCCAGGGGUUUUCUGAACUGUAAAAUACAUACCGAGAAUAAUAUUCAAGAAAAGGGGAUUUUGUGUAUAGAUGUGAUCAGCGUCUUUGUAAAAGGAAGGAAGUUAGUCCACUGCUACCGCCACAAUUCCGCCUCUGUCUGCCGGUGCCAAAUUGAAACGCAGACACAGAGUUUGGGGUAAAGGAGGGGAAAAAAAAUAGUUUAAUUGCUUUGCCAGGCAAAGGAGGAUCACAGCAGGUUAAUGCCUUAAAGACUGUCCCUUCCCCCCCACCCCAGUUAGAAAGAAUUGGAAGGAGUUUUAUAGCAAAAAGGAGAAAAACAGGUUUUCAGAUAGGAAUCAGUAUUGGGACAAACAUGCAUUCAUCUUUCUUUGGGUCAGUCUUGGUCAUCAAAGCUGGAGUCGGGAGAUUUUCACAGUGGUGGUUUUCUGGGUUAUUGCCUAGAAUAACAGUACUUGCGAAAGGGCCGUAUUGAUCAGAGAUCAGAACAAGCUUGGAAAGUUCCUGAAAAAACAUCCCAUGCUAAUAAUCUUUAACCCACAGGCCAUUGUGCUCAGGAUGCCUAAUCUUUAGCUUACAGGUGAUUGUGUUUAGGGUGUAACUAAGUCAGGAAGAAGAAUAAGCUGUUAAAUUUCAAAGUAUUCAUUUCAAAAAGAAGCGUAAGGAAUAUGAUUUUUCUCUGAGAGGUAUGAUAAGACUGCCUCUCCCAAGGCUGCUUGUCUUCCUCCCUCAAACAGAAAGGAUUGCUGUGUCCUUCUUACUAUCAAGAGUUGUCGGAGUUCCCGUCGUGGCGCAGUGGUUAACGAAUCCGACUAGGAACCAUGAGGUUGCGGGUUCGGUCCCUGCCCUUGCUCAGGGGGUUAACGAUCCGGCGUUGCCGAGAGCUGUGGUGUAGGUUGCAGAUGUGGCUCGGAUCCCGCGUUGCUGUGGCUCUGGCGUAGGCCGGUGGCUACAGCUCCCAUUGGACCCCUAGCCUGGGAACCUCCAUAUGCCGCAGGAGUGGCCCAAGAAAUAGCAACAACAACAAAAAGACAAAAGACAAAAAAAAAAAGAGUUGUCUCUGUCCAGGGGCUUCAGGAGGAAACCCAAGUAGGCCUAAUCCAACCCCAUGAUCUCUCCUCUCAGCUUCUGGUCCCGGCUGGUGCUCAGUACAGCUGAAUGCCCAGGGCUUUAGGGGCUUGAAGGAACGUGGGCUGCAAGCCUCCAGCGUGCUUGGGUCUGCGGUGACCCUGUGCAUUCCUACAGUGCUUGCAAGAAAAUUUUGAGAUGGUUUGAGGCCUUGCCCUGCUUCAUCCAGAGCAAGGUUAUAGAAAUUUCAGACACUGUUUUGCUCCCUUCCCUAUCUGGUGUGCUGGGCACUGUGCAGGUCUGUACCAUCUGAGGCGGUGACCACUUGACACAUUCGGUUAAAUUUAAGAUUCCGUCUUUCGUUCACACUAGCCACGGUUUAGAUGGAUGCUCAUUAGCCACACUUGGCAAGUGGCUGCUCUGUUGCACCGUGCACAUUAGAGAGCGUUAAUGUCUUUGAAGAAAUUGUUUUGGACUUUGGGUGUUUACCGUGCUCCAGGCUUGUAAAUUUUAUUAUAUCCUUCAAACGAAAGCCUUAGAAAAGUUGAAAAUGGGAGUUCCCUUGAUGGCUUAGUGGUUAAUGAACCCGACUAGUAUCCAAGAGGAUGCAGCUUCAAUCCCUGGCCUUGCUCAGAGGAUUAAGGAUCCUGCGUUGCCGUCAGCUGUGUAAGUUGCAGGCAAAGCUUGGAUCUGGCGGGGCUGUGGUGUAGGCCGGCAGCUGCAGCUCCGUUUGGACCCCUAGCCUGGGAACCUCCGUAUGCCUCGGGCAUGGCCCUAGAAAGAUGUAAAGGAAAAGAAAAUGAAGCUUGAGGGAGUGGUAAAGAUGGAGUUAGACCAGCUAGUAGGAAAUAGAGUGGAAAGGAAUAAUAGGGAUGGGCCAUGCCCUGGGGGAUAUUUACCAUUGGCAGGGAAACCAAAGAGAAGGAAGGGCCAGCCAGGUUCUAUAGCAGGGCCGAGUGUCCCCGGAGCUUACUGGGGGGCGGGGGUCGUUGCACAUUGAUCUUAAAGGAAGAUCUAAUAUAGCAGGGCCGAGUGUCCCCGGAGCUUACGGGGGGGGGGGGGUCGCAUUGAUCUUAAAGGAAGAUCUAGUGGGAGAGAAGGGCACUUGUGUUGAUUGAACUCUUGUCUUGCAGACUUAAUUCUUAACCCGCCAGAAGUCUUCGAGGACCACCGUUAGGCCAUCUUAGGUCCAGUACAGGUGGGGGAGCCACGGUCAGGAUUAAGUGUCCAGCGUUGCCUGGCCAGACACUGGAAGGUCAGGAUUGGAUGCCAGGCCGCUCCAACCCUACUGGCUCCACUCCUUUCCCGGAUGCCAGAUUGGAAGGGAGGGGUGGAAUCUAGAGGCAAUGGCUGGUUUGAGUCGGAGGGCAAUGCCAGGAUGGAGUAGGCAGCACAGCUCCUGAGCUCCUGGACGGUGGGGUCACACCACCACCCCUUCUCUCUUGAAGGUUAAGGCUUCUGGCAGAUUCGGGUCAGUCCCAAGUGCGACCGGUCUUCUGGGGCUGCCGUCCGCAGACCCUUCUCGCAUCCACGUACCUGGCGGCCUCCCUCAUCGCGUGCUGUUGGUAGGGGGGCGAGUCUGGCCCUGUACACGUCCUGACAGGCACCCGGCCCACCCCCAGCCAACUGUGCGCUGUGUUCCUGCCCCAGCACGAGACCUGUGGGGUGUCCGCGGCAGAAGAUGUCAGAGCUGGAAGAGACCUGAGAGGCGAUCCCCUUGGUGGGUGAUGGUUCUUCCGGGAAUCUGGUGGUUUGCGCGCCUUGUCGUCUGCUUCCAGAACAAGGAUCUUCGCUGUAUGCCAAGACCCAGACCCCUCUGACAUCGGAAUGACAAGUGGGAUAUUUAAUAAAACAGUUUCAAAUUUGGAGU